CGUAGGUGAACCUGCGGAAGGAUCAUUAAAGAAUUUAAAGAGUGCACUUCAUUGUGGCUCGACAUUUUCUACCAUUCACCUUAGUGCACUGUAAUACCUUUUUUUAUUAGACUCUACAAAGUUAUUGAAUGUAACACUUUUUUAUAAAGAAAUAAAACUUUUAACAACGGAUCUCUUGGCUCUC
RNAcentral lists this unclassified non-coding RNA (184 nucleotides) under plant metagenome. RNAcentral describes it as "partial contains small subunit ribosomal RNA, internal transcribed spacer 1, and 5.8S ribosomal RNA". The record is from RNAcentral.